This 253-nucleotide ribosomal RNA is filed under the name uncultured bacterium. RNAcentral's name for it is "partial 16S ribosomal RNA". It matches the Rfam family "Bacterial small subunit ribosomal RNA", at positions 524 to 776 of the family's 1533-position model. The record is from RNAcentral.
UACGGAGGGUGCAACCGUUGCUCGGAAUUAUUGGGCGUAAAGCGCACGUAGGCGGUUCGUUAAGUUGGAUGUGAAAGCCCUGGGCUCAACCCAGGAAGUGCAUACAAAACUGGCGAGCUUGAGUACAGAAGAGGGUCUCGGAAUUCCCGGUGUAGAGGUGAAAUUCGUAGAUAUCGGGAGGAACACCAGUGGCGAAGGCGGAGACCUGGGCUGAUACUGACGCUGAGGUGCGAAAGCGUGGGGAGCAAACAGG